RNAcentral lists this non-coding RNA (27 nucleotides) under Rattus norvegicus (Norway rat). Lineage: Eukaryota; Metazoa; Chordata; Mammalia; Rodentia; Muridae. The record is from RNAcentral.
AGGCCUGUAGGUAAAGCUGAGGAGUAA